UUUCCCAUUUAUUUGCUGCCAUACGAUCUUAGUAGUAUGAGCAGUUAUACGCAUGGGAUAAAGCAUAUUAAGCUCACUGUAAAAUCAGUGGUGAAAAUCACCAGUGUUUCACCUUUUUUGCUGUGGCUAGACAUUU
Small nucleolar RNA from Crocodylus porosus (Australian saltwater crocodile), 136 nucleotides. Ensembl annotates it as small nucleolar RNA, H/ACA box 20. NCBI's taxonomy places the organism in Eukaryota, Metazoa, Chordata, Crocodylia, Crocodylidae. The record is from Ensembl.